AGUCAAGAAAACCGUGCCUUGUUUCUUGAGUACCCUUAUCUUAUGUCCAUUCUAUCGUUCCUCUGCCCUCUUCUCAUUUUAUCCAAGCCUGAUGAAACCAUCAAAGAACAAACCCUAGACAUUUACUGAAACCAUUAAAGAACAAGAAUGAUUCUCUAUCCGUGAUUCUCUAUAGAACCUUGCAUCUACUACAAUACAGUAAACCAAAUCAAUCUCUUCUCACCUUCAAAAAAGAAAAACCUUAUCUAUUAUUAUUAAACAAUCUCUUUACGUCAUCUCUUCAUGAUCUCUCUAAAAACCCAGAUCUUCCCAAUUUUGAAACCCUAAUAUAUAAUCGUUCACUUCCCCAGAUCUAUUCAUGGUCAUCAAUUGAUUAAUAAUUGGUGGUGUUUUUAAACCAUUUGAAGAAAUUAAUAAACAACACAGAAUCAAAACCCUAACUGGAGUUGGAUUUCUUCGUGUGAUGGAUAAUUCUCAAAUUGCAGGCACAUCUGGAUGGACAUGUGAGAUGUGGCCAUGGAGAAAAGGUACAAAAGCUGCUCGAGAAAUUGUAUGCUGAGCAGAUUUGGGUCAGGGAGGAGACCUCAGCUUCAUUGGUUAUGGAAUAUCUAUUGAAAACAAGUGGUAUUACUUAGUUUGUAUGUCCUUCAAAUUCAUUUAUGCUGGUAACUUACCUUAUUAAUAAGAAGGUGGUGGUACCAGAUAUGGUGGUGGCCGAAUAUUUUUGGUCACCUAAAUCUCCAAGAGAGCUAUGCAUUAUGCAUAUACGGAUUUAUAAUAUCUCGUGGAAAUUAUCGUCGGCGUUGUUGGGGAACUUGAUCUUCUUAAGAUUACAGAACAACUUGGCAAUGUGUUCACAAGCCCAAGAGGCACAUGGAUACUGAGAAUGAGGAAUAAGUCAAAGACGAUGAAGUUAAUUUCUUCUUUGCAUUAUUUUAAGUUUAAUUUUGUAGUUUAUCAUGUAGAAGGUAUUAUCACUUUGAGAACAAUACGACAACUGCAUCUGCCAAAGCAUGCUGCAAGGGUCACAUCUGCUCCUACUAUCGAACACUUCGGUAUGGCUACAAGCAUUCAACUAUGCUUAUGUGUAAACUUAUGCGCAGUCUACCUUCUUGUUGGCAGAAACUUACUUCUCAGUUGAGCUAGUUAGUUAGCAAAUGGAGGCAUAAAUGGUGAAGUUUUGCGGACUCCAGUUUCGUUCUACCAUUGAUUUACAAGGAAUAUUGCAAUUGGACAUAAUAGAAGAGAAAGUUGAUAUGGAGGAUAUCAUUGCAGAGUCAAUUCUGGAUAUUCUCGAUGAUAAAUAUGCUCACUACAAGAAAACUAAGAAUUCUAGCUGUGUAUCUCCCAGCUAUAUGGUUCAACAAUUAUAUCAACGAUAAGAUGAGGGUCAUCCUAUCUGUUUUGGGAUGUGAUUUCUUAGGAGACCACUUGAUGUUAUUGUUGCUUUCGUGACUGCUAUUAGCAUUUCUUUCCUAAACAAUAGCUUGUCCAACCUGCUUGCCAUUCUGUGUUGGGUAAUCUAUGAUCAAAGACUCCAUAUGGCUUUAAGGAUAGGGGAGGAUAAACAUUUUCUGUGGCUGCUCACCGUGUACUCGAUCUUUUAUCGCGCAAAAUUUUGCAAAGGAUGUGCUGUGCAUAGGUGUUGAAUUCAAGAUUGUACAGAGCUAUAAAGUUCUUGGUACUAAAGAAAAAGUCUUCCAUCUUUCACAGGGAUUAUGCUUUUUGUUUGCAUCUUAGAGUUAUUGGAGUAAUAGACCUGAUUAGAGCUAGUUUGUCAGUAAAUGAAGUUGUAUAUUCCUUCAAAUAUUGUAAUAGGAAUAUGCAUUAAGCAUUUUCAACUUAGUUUAGAAUUCAGGUGCGUUGUCCCUCAGCAGAUAGAAGCAUUUUUAUUUUACCCAGAGUAUUUUAGAUAGUUGAAGUUAUAAACUGGAUACACUUCUUAAUACAAAUUCAAAUGUGAAGUCAUUUCAAGUA
Molecule: long non-coding RNA, 1977 nt
Organism: Papaver somniferum (opium poppy)
Lineage: Eukaryota; Viridiplantae; Streptophyta; Magnoliopsida; Ranunculales; Papaveraceae
Exons: 11
Source: RefSeq, a predicted model, not a curated record